This 921-nucleotide ribosomal RNA is filed under the name Clavaria sp. RNAcentral describes it as "partial large subunit ribosomal RNA". It matches the Rfam family "Eukaryotic large subunit ribosomal RNA", at positions 31 to 937 of the family's 3401-position model. Lineage: Eukaryota; Fungi; Basidiomycota; Agaricomycetes; Agaricales; Clavariaceae. The record is from RNAcentral.
AAACUAGCAUAUCAAUAAGCGGAGGAAAAGAAACUAACAAGGAUUCCCUUAGUAACUGCGAGUGAAGAGGGAAGAGCUCAAAUUUAAAAUCUGGCAGUCCACUUGGCCUGUCCGAGUUGUAAGUUAGAGAAGUGCUAUCCGCGUCGGCCUGUGCAAAAGUCUCUUGGAAAAGAGCAUCAUAGAGGGUGACAAUCCCGUCUUUGGCACAGACUACCGAGGCAUUUGUGAUGCGCUCUCGAUGAGUCGAGUUGUUUGGGAAUGCAGCUCUAAAUGGGUGGUAAAUUCCAUCUAAAGCUAAAUAUUGGCGAGAAACCGAUAGCGCACAAGUACCGUGAGGGAAAGAUGAAAAGAACUUUGAAAAGAGAGUCAAACAGUACGUGAAAUUGUUGAAAGGGAAACGCUUGAAGUCAGUCAUGUUCUUUGGAAAUCAACCUUUACUUCUUGUUGGGUGUAUUUUCCAUUUGGACAGGUCAGCAUCAAUUUUGACUUUCAGAUAAAGACCUUGGGAAAGUGACAUUAUCUUACGAUAAUGUGUUAUAGACCUUGGUUCAGAUAUGAUAGUUGGGAUUGAGGAACUCGAAGGGUGCCAUCUGGCUGCUCUUUCUAGGAUGCUGGCAUAAAUGGCUUUAAUCGACCCGUCUUGAAACACGGACCAAGGAGUCUAACGUGCAUGCAAGUGUUUGGGUGGAAAACUCAAGCGCGUAAUGAAAGUGAAAGUUGGGAACCUUGUCGUGGGGUGCACCGACGCCCGGACCUGAUCUUUUGUGAAGGACCUGCGGUAGAGCAUGUAUGUUGGGACCCGAAAGAUGGUGAACUAUGCCUGAAUAGGGUGAAGCCAGAGGAAACUCUGGUGGAGGCUCGUAGCGAUUCUGACGUGCAAAUCGAUCGUCGAAUUUNGGNAUANGGGCGAAAGACUNAUCG